Molecule: ribosomal RNA, 688 nt
Filed under: Staphylococcus aureus
Lineage: Bacteria; Bacillati; Bacillota; Bacilli; Caryophanales; Staphylococcaceae
Description: partial 23S ribosomal RNA
Rfam family: Bacterial large subunit ribosomal RNA
Source: RNAcentral
AGUUAUGUCAUGUUAUCGAUAUGUGAAUACAUAGCAUAUCAGAAGGCAUACCCGGAGAACUGAAACAUCUUAGUACCCGGAGGAAGAGAAAGAAAAUUCGAUUCCCUUAGUAGCGGCGAGCGAAACGGGAAGAGCCCAAACCAACAAGCUUGCUUGUUGGGGUUGUAGGACACUCUAUACGGAGUUACAAAGGACGACAUUAGACGAAUCAUCUGGAAAGAUGAAUCAAAGAAGGUAAUAAUCCUGUAGUCGAAAAUGUUGUCUCUCUUGAGUGGAUCCUGAGUACGACGGAGCACGUGAAAUUCCGUCGGAAUCUGGGAGGACCAUCUCCUAAGGCUAAAUACUCUCUAGUGACCGAUAGUGAACCAGUACCGUGAGGGAAAGGUGAAAAGCACCCCGGAAGGGGAGUGAAAUAGAACCUGAAACCGUGUGCUUACAAGUAGUCAGAGCCCGUUAAUGGGUGAUGGCGUGCCUUUUGUAGAAUGAACCGGCGAGUUACGAUUUGAUGCAAGGUUAAGCAGUAAAUGUGGAGCCGUAGCGAAAGCGAGUCUGAAUAGGGCGUUUAGUAUUUGGUCGUAGACCCGAAACCAGGUGAUCUACCCUUGGUCAGGUUGAAGUUCAGGUAACACUGAAUGGAGGACCGAACCGACUUACGUUGAAAAGUGAGCGGAUGAACUGAGGGUAGCGG